RNAcentral lists this ribosomal RNA (570 nucleotides) under Bacillus subtilis. Its description in RNAcentral is "bacterial SSU rRNA". It matches the Rfam family "Bacterial small subunit ribosomal RNA", at positions 669 to 1235 of the family's 1533-position model. The record is from RNAcentral. Lineage: Bacteria; Bacillati; Bacillota; Bacilli; Caryophanales; Bacillaceae.
CCACGUUGUAGCGGUUGAAAUUGCGUAGAGAUGUGGAGGAACACCAGUGGCGAAGGCGACUCUCUGGUCUGUAACUGACGCUGAGGAGCGAAAGCGUGGGGAGCGAACAGGAUUAGAUACCCUGGUAGUCCACGCCGUAAACGAUGACUGCUUAGUGUUAGGGGGUUUCCGCCCCUUAUUGCUGCACCUAACGCAUUAAUCACUCCGCCUGGGGAUUACGGUCGCAAGACUGAAACUCAAAGGAUUUGACGGGGGCCCGCACAAGCGGUGGACCAUGUGGUUUAUUUCAAACCAACGCGAAAAACCUUACCACGUCUUGACUUCCUCUGACUAUCCUAAAGAUAUGACGUCCCCUUCGGAAGCAUAAUGACAGGUGUUGCAUGGUUGUCGUCACCUCGUGUCGUGAGAUGUUGGGUUAAUUCCCGCAACAAGCGCAACCCUUGAUCUUAUUUGCCAGCAUUCAGUUGGGCACUCUAAGGUGACUGCCGGUGACAAACCGGAGGAAGGUGGGGGAUGACGUCAAAUCAUCAUGCCCCUUAUGACCUGGGCUACACACGUGCUACAAUGGAC